Long non-coding RNA from Cyprinus carpio (common carp), 2861 nucleotides. The record is from Ensembl. NCBI's taxonomy places the organism in Eukaryota, Metazoa, Chordata, Actinopteri, Cypriniformes, Cyprinidae.
AUGAGUGCUAAUAACACUUUUGAUGGCCUGGAUGAGCCAGUGAGACCUACACCUGGUGGCAGAAAACGCCAAUUGGACAAAGAAAAUCACAAAAAACAACAAAAAAAGAAGCUUCGCCACUCAGGUGGCGCGUUAAUACCCACUGUGGGAUGUCACCACAAGGCUGAUGCAACCAGUUUCUGUCAGGCAGAGAAGCUGUCACCGGACGACCUGAUGAUCAAUUUCAAUACGUUUUAUGAAAGACCAAACAAGGUUGACCAGGACAGGACCAUUCUUAAUCUCCUGGACAUAACGCGUGUGAAAAGGCAGCGUCUGAAAGUCCUGGACGUUAAUAAACAAAAAGACCGGAACAUAUCUGUCAAGUACAAUCUUUUGUGCGGCAAUCACCCAGAGAAGGUGCCCGUUUGCAAGGCCACCUUCAUUAAAGUGUUCGGCAUCAGCAAAGACCGUGUGUCCCGGGUGGCUAAAUAUUAUGCUGAGACUGCUGAGGCUUGCCCAGAGAGAAGAGGUGGUGCACGGCACAGUGAGGAGCACAACAGGAGAAGGCAACUCAUUGUUGACCACAUCCAGUCUUUUACCUGCAGGGCCAGCCAUUAUGGUCGGAGAGGAGCACCAGGCCGCAAGUAUGUCCCCAGUGACUUGAAUGUGCACAAGAUGCAUGAGCUCUUUGAGGCUCAGAACCAUGCACAGACCAGCUACUCCCUCUAUUACUCGGUGUUCUCCAAGGAUUUCAAUCUUGGCUUCGUUCACCCAGCUACAGAUGCAUGCUCUGAUUGUGUCAAGUACAAGAUCAGGAUUACAGAUCCAAACCUAACUGAGACAGAGAAGAAGAUGGAAUCUGCAUCAUUCAUCUUGCAUCGUCGCAGAGCUCGCAUGUUUUAUGACUUGUUAGGCAGGGUUGCUGAAGGUCAUGUGACGCUCAGUUUUGAUAUGAUGCAAAACAUGGUCCUUCCAAAAACCCCAGUAGGACAGGCCUAUUACUCACGGCAGAUGUAUCUGUACCUGUUUGGUGUUGUUGUACACCAUGGUGAGAACAGUCAACAGGAAAAAGAUGAUGUCCAUCUCUAUGUGUGGCAGGAGAAUGAGAAUAGCAAAGACAGCAAUAUGAUUGUUUCUGUGCUGAGUGACUGCCUCAAGGUUCAACUUCAGGACAAAGUCAGCAGAUCCAGGGGACUUCGGCUGUUCAGCGACUCUUGUUUUGGGCAAAACAAAAACAUGAGCAUGGUGUCAAUGCUCAUGGAACUUCGUCAGCUUUUUCCCAACCUUGGCAUAGAGCAUACCUUUCCAGUAAGGGGCCACAGUUUUCUUCCAGCAGACCGAGUCUUUGGCAGAAUUGAGCAGAAGAUCAGGAAAAUUGACACAAUUCUGCUACCACAGGAAUACCAUACCAUCCUCCAGCAAUUCGGCCAUGUUCACGUUUAUGGCACAGACUGGGAGGCAUUUGAUUAUAGGUCACCCUCAAAAGAGUGCGUUAAGGCUCAGAAGAGCUUUAAAAUCAGUGAAGCACGCAUGCUUGACUUGAGUACCAACAAGGUUGGUUUAAAGAGUGCUUACAAUGGGGAGUAUUGUUUUCAUAGUGUAUUAAAGCGGGGCAAGCGGUGGGCUGACCUAAAACUUGAGUUACUUCCAAAGCGAACCUCUGUGAAGGCAGCAAAGAAGCGCGAUGUGCUGGCACUAUUAGGAGCAGUAGGUGUGUCUGAUGUAGUGAGGGCUUUUUAUGAUGAUGCACUGUAUCAUGUGACUGACAAUGCAGGCCAUAGUGAUGAAGAUGCAGAGUGAUCUAUACUCACUCACUCACUCUAUCUCAUACACACACACACACACACACACACACACUCUCUGUCCUCUCACACACUCAAAGCACAUUUCACACACUAUGUGGUUAGUUUUAUGUAUAGCGGACAAUGGUCCUACUGUUUACGAGUUUGACACUUUACUGAAUGCUAAUGUAUUACUGAAUGACUUGCCUAUGAAUAUCGUUAUCAUUAUUAGUUUUUUUUUUUUUCAUGCAUAUGUAGUGGACAAAUUUUUCUACUUGUUACAGGUUUGACACUUUACUAAAAAAAGCCUUUGAAUGUAUUUCUAAAUAACUUGCCUAUUGAGUAUUGUUAUCAUUACUAUCAUUACUUUUUACAGGUUCGGCACUGAAUGACUAUUAACCUAAAUGUGUUACUAAAUGAUUUGAAUGUAAUGUUAACAUUGUUGCAGGUUUAUUUAAUUGGUAGUAUAUGUAUGCAUGUUAUUUUUAAAUUAUUUGUUUUAUGUGGUGGACAAUAUUGAAACAUAAAAUUUAAAAUAUUUAUUUUAUUUAAAUUUUAUUAUUUAUUUGGCUGCUAUUUAUUUCAUGAAUUUGCAUUUAUUUGAUUUAUAUUAAUUUAUAGUAUGAGUCCCUGUUGUCAUAUGUUGCAUGUUCUUUUGUUGUUGUUGUUGUUGUUUAUAAAAAAAAAGACAUAAAACCAACAAUUAAAAAAAAUGGAUUUGUAGCAUUUUGGAAAAAAAUAUGGAUUUGUAGCGUUUUGAGAAAAAAAAAAAAACUUUGAAUUUAUAAUCAACAAUAUUGUCGUUUCAUUUAGCAAUCAUUUUUUAACAUGUUCAGACUGAGCCAAUAUACCUUUUUAACAGGAUGAAUUAAAUAUUAACAAAAUGUAUGGGUCUAGGUAAAAAAAAGUCAUUUUCAUGAAAACGAUUAAAAUGGAUUUAUAGCGUUUUGGAAAAGAGCUCCUCAUAUUUUCUUUAUUUCUCCCACUAGAUGGUACCAGAUCUGCCUCCAUUAAUUGGAUUUUAAAUGUGUUUGCUUUAUUAAGGCAAUGUUUAAGUUAAAAACUAAAGUAAUAAAAAUACUAAUAAAUGUUUAUUUUACA